UCCGUAGGUGAACCUGCGGAGGGAUCAUUACUGAGUUUACGCUCUACAACCCUUUGUGAACAUACCUAUAACUGUUGCUUCGGCGGGUAGGGUCUCCGUGACCCUCCCGGCCUCCCGCCCCCGGGCGGGUCGGCGCCCGCCGGAGGAUAACCAAACUCUGAUUUAACGACGUUUCUUCUGAGUGGUACAAGCAAAUAAUCAAAACUUUUAACAACGGAUCUCUUGGUUCUGGCAUCGAUGAAGAACGCAGCGAAAUGCGAUAAGUAAUGUGAAUUGCAGAAUUCAGUGAAUCAUCGAAUCUUUGAACGCACAUUGCGCCCGCCAGCAUUCUGGCGGGCAUGCCUGUUCGAGCGUCAUUUCAACCCUCAAGCUCUGCUUGGUGUUGGGGCCCUACAGCUGAUGUAGGCCCUCAAAGGUAGUGGCGGACCCUCCCGGAGCCUCCUUUGCGUAGUAACUUUACGUCUCGCACUGGGAUCCGGAGGGACUCUUGCCGUAAAACCCCCCAAUUUUCCAAAGGUUGACCUCGGAUCAGGUAGG
This 537-nucleotide ribosomal RNA is filed under the name Colletotrichum tropicale. RNAcentral describes it as "eukaryotic LSU rRNA". The stretch from base 203 to 356 matches the Rfam family "5.8S ribosomal RNA". The record is from RNAcentral. Lineage: Eukaryota; Fungi; Ascomycota; Sordariomycetes; Glomerellales; Glomerellaceae.